Molecule: transfer RNA, 72 nt
Filed under: Desmophyllum pertusum
Lineage: Eukaryota; Metazoa; Cnidaria; Anthozoa; Scleractinia; Caryophylliidae
Description: Lophelia pertusa tRNA
Rfam family: tRNA
About the family: Transfer RNA (tRNA) molecules are approximately 80 nucleotides in length. Their secondary structure includes four short double-helical elements and three loops (D, anti-codon, and T loops).
Source: Rfam by way of RNAcentral
UUUCCUGCAGCUCAGUGGUAGAGCGUCCGACUGGUGUACGGAAGGUCAUAACUUCAACUCCUGUUGGGGAAC